Molecule: non-coding RNA, 73 nt
Organism: Stegodyphus mimosarum
Lineage: Eukaryota; Metazoa; Arthropoda; Arachnida; Araneae; Eresidae
Source: Rfam
GCCUUCGUGGUGUAAUGGUCAGCACACUGAGCCGGUAUUUCAGAGGUCCGCCGUUCGAUUCCCGGCGAAGGAA